GUCUAGGGCCAUACCACCCUGGACAUGCCCGAUCUCAUCUGAUCUUGGAAGCUAAGCAAGUUUGGGCCUGGAUGGGAGGUUGUACUUGGAUGGGAGACCGCCUGGGAAUAGCGGGUGCUGCCCCAGGCC
RNAcentral lists this ribosomal RNA (129 nucleotides) under Nannospalax galili (Upper Galilee mountains blind mole rat). Lineage: Eukaryota; Metazoa; Chordata; Mammalia; Rodentia; Spalacidae. The record is from RNAcentral.